RNAcentral lists this ribosomal RNA (440 nucleotides) under uncultured bacterium. RNAcentral describes it as "partial 16S ribosomal RNA". It matches the Rfam family "Bacterial small subunit ribosomal RNA", at positions 338 to 795 of the family's 1533-position model. The record is from RNAcentral.
CCUACGGGAGGCAGCAGUGGGGGAUAUUGCACAAUGGGGGAAACUCUGAUGCAGCGACGCCGCGUGGGUGAAGAAGCGCCUCGGCGCGUAAAGCCCUGUCAGCAGGGAAGAAAACGACGGUACCUGAAGAAGAAGCCCCGGCUAACUACGUGACAGCAGCCGCGGGAAUACGUAGGGGGCAAGCGUUAUCCGGAUUUACGGGGUGUAAAGGGGGCGCAGACGGCGAUGCAAGCCAGAGGUGAAAGCCCGGGGCCCAACCCCGGGACUGAUCUUGGAACUGCGUGGCUAGAGUGCAGUAGGGGCAGGCGGAAUGUCUGGUGUAGCGGUGAAAUGCGUAGAGAUCAGGAGGAACACCGGUGGCGAAGGCGGCCUGCUGGACUGCAACUGACGUUGAGGCCCGAAAGCGUGGGGAGCAAACAGGAGUAGAUACCCUUGUAGUC